GAUCUGCUUGUAUCCUUGCAGUUUGUCCUGUCUUCAUCAAAGCCCAAGAUUCCAGAGAUAGAAUGAGGCUAUAAGAGAGAUGGUAAACCUGAAUACUGAGGAAUUUAUGACAUGAAUUUCAAAUGCAAGAAGCUAAUUUUUCCUUGAGGAAGCACAAGUGCAGCGUUCCCAAUCAAGCUGCAGAGAUGCCUUUGUGAAACACCUCAGUCAGUCACACAUCAAACACGAUCAGCCUGUGGAUGGGACUGCAGGAGCAGGAUGCGGCGCUCACAGCCGGCAGGAGCAGGGACUCCUCCAGGGCAGGAAUUCAGAGCUGUUGGGUCGCUUUCUGCGGAGUCUCACCCCAUUCGCUCCCAGCUGAUAACUCAGCAGGAUGCUGAAGUUUAACCUGAUUUCCAGCCACCAAAUCAACGUUUGAAUGCAAGCCUGACUUGAACAGACAGAAGAUAAUUGCGUUUAAUAAGCACGUGUGAAAUGAGAUGUUGGAGGCUCUGUGGUGAGAACACAAACAGACCCUUGAGAGAACAAUGGCAGAAUUGAGCGAUAACUGCACCCUCCCAUCCGCAGCUCUGCCACUCAUCUCUGCAGAGGAAAGGAAGUGGCAUCAAACUGUCCUUUCAAAAUGAGUCUGCGUUUAUGAUUCAGCGCUGUGCAGCAGCCCCAGGGCCAGCCCAGUCUUUCAGCUCCUAGUGGAGUGACUCCAUCAGAAUACCCAGUGCUGAACUCCUUUGCAUGUGUGCAUGAAGGCAGAAAGCACAUUGAUUUUCCUCCCAAGGAUAAGGGAAACAAAGCAUUUCUGAGGAAUUCAGCAGCGUUCCCUGGGAUGGUGGUGCCUUGCUUUGGCUCUCCAGCUGCUCCCCAGUGGAUGGAAAUGCUCCUGUGUGAGGAUGAGAGGCAGCGCUCCCAGAACACUGAGGAACAACAGGGGGCUGCACACAGAAAGGAGAUUUCAUCAUCUUCCAUCUGCAGCCCUUUAAUAUCAAGAGACUUCCACAAAACUUGA
Molecule: long non-coding RNA, 1003 nt
Organism: Zonotrichia albicollis (white-throated sparrow)
Lineage: Eukaryota; Metazoa; Chordata; Aves; Passeriformes; Passerellidae
Source: Ensembl